Molecule: non-coding RNA, 54 nt
Organism: Salmo salar (Atlantic salmon)
Lineage: Eukaryota; Metazoa; Chordata; Actinopteri; Salmoniformes; Salmonidae
Source: Rfam
ACAAUACCAAUUUGUAAGUCGCUCUGGAUAAGAGCGUCUGCUAAAUGACGUAAA